RNAcentral lists this ribosomal RNA (793 nucleotides) under Ammonia sp. genotype T6. RNAcentral's name for it is "SSU rRNA". It matches the Rfam family "Eukaryotic small subunit ribosomal RNA", at positions 1295 to 1773 of the family's 1831-position model. Lineage: Eukaryota; Foraminifera; Rotaliida; Rotaliidae. The record is from RNAcentral.
UAGUUCGUGGAGUGAUCUGUCUGCUUAAUUGCGUAUCAAUAAUAGAGACCUAGUAUACGCGUAGACUCAUGCGGUAGUGACCCCCCUUCACAGGGCGCGUGUCGCACGUAUGUUAUACGCACAGGUCUCCGAUAGCAACGAACGUGACCGUACUCUAUUGUUGCAGCGACAAUACCUUUCAACGGGUAUUACCGCUGCUUAGCAAGAUUCGUCUUGCAUUAAACUAUAGAGACCGCUGUUUCUUCUUUAAACCAGAGGAAGGAUACGGCAAUAACAGGUCUGUGAUGCCCUCAGAUGUUCCGGGCUGCACACGUGCUACAAUGAUCAUUGCACUGUGCAUCUAACCCAAUGUGCGCGGACGCCGCCGUGCGUAUAUACUUUAUCGUGUAUGCGUAUCGUGCGUGCGACCGCGCCGAACCUGCUUCGAAAGUAAACAUUUCCAGCGGAUAAUCCAUUAGAAGUAAUGACUCGCAUAGACCAUGGCACACUAUAUGUACCCGCGGGUUCUACCCGGCUCGCCUUUGUGUGAGUGCAGUGCGUAGCUCGUUGUUUGGUACGUGCCACUCCGUAUUAAUUCAUACGUGGGGAUAGAUCAUUGUUUAAUUGUUGGUCUCGGUCUUAACUAGGAAUGCCUUGUACGGGUCUUUGGUUCAACAUACCACCCGGAAUACGUCCCUGCCCUUUGUACACACCGCCCGUCGCUCUUACCGAUGGAUUAUACUAUGAAUCUAUAGGACUGCCAAAGUUGCUCUUCGCGGCGCGCUUAGUGGAAAUAUAUAUGAAUAGUGUGAUC